GAGAGAUGCCGCGGGGUUGUGUAGCAGAAGAAGGGGGCGGGGAGAAGCAGCAAAAAAGGGCCUGUGGAAAAUGGGAUUUUCAACGUAACUAAUUGAAUUCUAAGGAAAUGUGAUGAGGCUAUUUAAAUUUUUCUGACUAAUUAAGUGACUGCAGCAGAGGUUCUUCCAAGGCAGUAUCGGGAACGCGGAAC
This 191-nucleotide long non-coding RNA is filed under the name Dasypus novemcinctus (nine-banded armadillo). RNAcentral describes it as "lncRNA (ENSDNOG00000052815.1)". The record is from RNAcentral. Lineage: Eukaryota; Metazoa; Chordata; Mammalia; Cingulata; Dasypodidae.